Molecule: ribosomal RNA, 641 nt
Filed under: Cellulosimicrobium sp.
Lineage: Bacteria; Bacillati; Actinomycetota; Actinomycetes; Micrococcales; Promicromonosporaceae
Description: bacterial SSU rRNA
Rfam family: Bacterial small subunit ribosomal RNA
Source: RNAcentral
AGUGGCGAACGGGUGAGUAACACGUGAGUAACCUGCCCUUGACUUCGGGAUAACUCCGGGAAACCGGGGCUAAUACCGGAUAUGAGCUACCUUCGCAUGGGGGUGGUUGGAAAGUUUUUCGGUCAGGGAUGGGCUCGCGGCCUAUCAGCUUGUUGGUGGGGUGAUGGCCUACCAAGGCGACGACGGGUAGCCGGCCUGAGAGGGCGACCGGCCACACUGGGACUGAGACACGGCCCAGACUCCUACGGGAGGCAGCAGUGGGGAAUAUUGCACAAUGGGCGCAAGCCUGAUGCAGCGACGCCGCGUGAGGGAUGAAGGCCUUCGGGUUGUAAACCUCUUUCAGCAGGGAAGAAGCGCAAGUGACGGUACCUGCAGAAGAAGCGCCGGCUAACUACGUGCCAGCAGCCGCGGUAAUACGUAGGGCGCAAGCGUUGUCCGGAAUUAUUGGGCGUAAAGAGCUCGUAGGCGGUUUGUCGCGUCUGGUGUGAAAACUCGAGGCUCAACCUCGAGCUUGCAUCGGGUACGGGCAGACUAGAGUGCGGUAGGGGAGACUGGAAUUCCUGGUGUAGCGGUGGAAUGCGCAGAUAUCAGGAGGAACACCGAUGGCGAAGGCAGGUCUCUGGGCCGCAACUGACGCUGAG